This 459-nucleotide ribosomal RNA is filed under the name uncultured bacterium. Its description in RNAcentral is "partial 16S ribosomal RNA". It matches the Rfam family "Bacterial small subunit ribosomal RNA", at positions 338 to 795 of the family's 1533-position model. The record is from RNAcentral.
CCUACGGGUAGCAGCAGUGAGGAAUAUUGGUCAAUGGGAGAGAUCCUGACCCAGCCAAGCCGCGUGAGGGAAGACGGCCCUAUGGGUUGUAAACCUCUUUUGUCGGAGAACAAAACCCGGGACGUGUCCCGGACUGCGUGUAUCCGAAGAAAAAGCAUCGGCUAACUCCGUGCCAGCAGCCGCGGUAAUACGGAGGAUGCGAGCGUUAUCCGGAGUUAUUGGGUUUAAAGGGUGCGUAGGCGGUCCGUUAAGUCAGCGGUAAAAUUGCGGGGCGCAACCCCGUCGAGCCGUUGAAACUGGCAGACGUGAGUUGGCGAGAAGUACGCGGAAUGCGGGGGGUAGCGGUGAAAUGCAUAGAUAUCGCGAAGAACUCCGAUUGCGAAGGCAGCUCACUGGACUGCAACUGACACUGAGGCUCGAAAGUGUGGGUAUCAAACAGGAUUAGAGACCCUGGUAGUC